GGUGAACUCUUAGCGGUUAAAAUGAUUUGUAAUAAUAGGAGAUUGGAUCAAAAGCUUCAGAAACAAUUCGAAACAGAAGUCAAGAUAUUGAGCACCAUACGCCAUGCCAAUAUAGUGAAGUUGUUGUGCUGCAUAUCAAAUGAAACCUCAAGUCUUCUUGUUUACGAGUACAUGCAGAAGCAGAGUUUGGAUAGAUGGCUUCAUGGGAAGAAGCAGAGAACAUCGUCCAUGACAAGUUCAGUUCAUAACUUUGUCUUGGAUUGGCCAACAAGGUUGCAGAUUGCUAUCGGAGCUGCAAAAGGCCUAUGCCACAUGCAUGAAAACUGCUCUGCCCCGAUCAUACAUCGAGAUGUGAAGUCCAGCAACAUCUUGCUAGAUGCCGAGUUCAACGCGAAAAUUGCAGAUUUUGGAUUGGCCAAGAUGUUGGUCAAGCAAGGAGAGCCAGACACCAUGUCAGGAAUUGCAGGCUCUUACGGAUAUAUUGCCCCUGGUAAGACCAUCAAGGCCCUCCUUUCCAAAUGUUUUCAUUUCCAUAAUUUAUCGAUAAGUUGUAUCAUACCAUUCUUGUAUACUUGGAUGAUAGAGUAUGCUUAUACAACAAAGGUGAACAAGAAGAUCGAUGUAUAUAGCUUUGGAGUAGUCUUGCUUGAGCUUGUGACGGGGAGAGAACCCAACAAUGGGGACGAGCACGUGUGCCUUGCAGAAUGGGCAUGGGAUCAGUUCAGAGAAGAGAAAACCAUUGAGGAAGUGAUGGAUGAGGAGAUCAAGGAAGAAUGUGAUAGAGCACAAGUGGCCACUCUCUUCAAACUAGGCAUUAGGUGCACUAACAAAUUACCAUCCAAUAGGCCCACAAUGAAAGGGGUUUUGAAAAUUCUUCAACAGUGCAGUCCUCAAGAGGGCCAUGGAAGAAAUAAAAAGGACCAUGAAGUUGCACCUCCACUUCGAAAUGACACUUACCCCACCACUUACAAGUUGUGAGGAUAAAGCCCUUAAAAACAUGAUAUGAUGUAAUAAAUUUGGAAGUCAUUAUUUAUUUAAUGAUGUUCCGAUUUCACUUUUAUCUAUCCUUAUUCCAUAUAUUAUACUUUAUGAGCAUUCUUGCCUGCAUCUUUUGCAUUGCACGUAACUUAGGUGCAUUAAGAGUUGCACAGAAGAUCUAGGUCAUGGGUUCCUUGCAAAUAUAUGACUUGUUCACAACCAGUUCAUGGGUCUAGGAAGCCCAUUAGGGGUUGUAAUAAUCCACUUCCUAAUUGGAAGAAUGGCUAGUCUUAGCUAUUGGGAUGAGUUUCCCAUGGUAAGUGCAUUAGUGUGUAUGAUUACAUAUUGGACAUGACCUAUGGUGAAUCAUGAAUUAAGGUUAUCAAGCAGUCAUGACCUCAUCAAACUACUUCAUUAUAUUGUCUCUCAACCUUGAGAGAAUAUCGAGCUCGUACUAAAGUUAGCAAUGACUUUGACAUACGAGUGAGAUCGUAAGUUGAUCAUAUAUUCCCUAUGGAUUGAGUCAUUGUUGAUGGAAAAUGGUAGCAAUAGGUAUUUUCAAUAAAAACACCAUGAUGUCUCUUGGGAUUAAGACAAUGUGCCCCUUUUGGUGAUCCUAAAGAGGUGUGUUUAUGGAAACUAUGGUCAUAGUAGUUCCUUAAGUAAAACUCGACAUAGGCUCUUUGAGAGCUAAGACAUGUCAAUUGAAUACACAAUAGAAGGAUUUAUAACUCAAGGAUGGUAGAGGUAGUCUUGAAAGACUAAUAACUUUUACUUUGUUAGACUAUGAAUAUCAGUUCAUGGGAAGACUAAACACAAUAAAUAGCAAGUCACAAACCUGAACAUUUGGUAUCUCAUUGUUAUUUUCAAUAAAAUAACAAUGAGAUGGUAAGUUGAUCAUAUAUACCCUAUGGAUUGGGUUAUUGUUGAUGGAAGAUGGUAGCAAUAGGUAUUUUCAAUAAGCACCAUAAUAUCUCUUGGGAUUAAGAUAGUGUGCCCCCUUGGGUAAUCUUAAAAAGUGUGUUCAUGGAAACUAUGGUCAUAGUAAUUCAUUAAGUAAAACUCAACAUAGGCUCUUUGAGAGCUAAGACAUGUCAAUUGAAUACACAAUGGAGGAUUUAUAACUCAAGGAUGAUAGAGGUAGCCUUGAAAGACUAAUAACUUUCACUUUGUUAGACUACGAACAUCAGUUCAUGGGGAGACUAAACACAAUAAAUAGCAAGUCACAAGCUCGAGCAUUUGGUAUCUCGUUGUUAUUUACAUAAGAUACGGGAGUUCAAUUGAUUCUCUGUAGUGGGAUGUUGAAUCAACUUUAGAAUUGGAUUUUGAGAGAGUCGGUAUUCUUAUGGGUUCCAAUGGUCCUUGCUCUAAGCUUAUAUACUUUGUUGGCAUGGGUUAUAAGAGUCGGAUUGACUCUAGGUUCACUUUUGUACAUAAAGGCAUUUUGAUAAUUACACAAGGUUACACAAAGGUAAGUGAACAAGGUUUUUAAAUUGGGUUAAUUGAUUAAUUAGUAGGCCUUGUUUAGUUAAUUAAUCAAUUAGGACUUUUUUUGGGCUAUAUUAAGUGACCUAAGCCCUUAGUGGGCUCAAGUCACUUAAACCUAAUAGAAAACCCUUUAAAUACCCCCUUAAGGGUUAGAGUUUAUAUAGUUUUUCUAAAGAGCCAUCUUCUAUCUCUAGAGAGAAAGAGAAAGAGUCAUAGCGUCCACCCUCCCUUCUAUCUCCACUAAAAGUGUGUCAAGAUCAAGGUUCAAGUCAUUGGGAGGAAGACUUUGGAUUUACGAGACUUCUGUGAUUUCGUUCUUCAUUUUCACCACGUGGAUUUGAUUUGAGAACAUACGAAUUUGAGGUAUGGUUUUCAUUAGCACUUUCUGAAUCCCUUUAAAGUUUAAAAAUGUUAUUUUUCCGUUGUGUAUAGGAUUAAUUUAGAAAAUGCUUAGAAUAGUUAUGCAUGUUCGUAACCUGAUCUGAGCUUAGGAAAUGGAGAGAUCCUAGUUUUUUCCCUCAAUGUUUGUGCUCCAAAGUGUUGAGAUAGUUUAGAGGGUGACAUGAUGAUUAACAUAAUACCUUAUAUGGAGAACCUAGUGAAUCCCUUCUCCAAGACAUUGAUAGGGAGAGUCUUUGCUAGUCACAUGGAUAGCAUAGGUUUCAGAUGAGUAUUUGGCAUGCUUUAAAGGCAUGAUACUUUGAGGGCUAAUAGGAGAAUGUUAGGAUAAAGCCCUUAAAAACAUGACAUGAUGUAAUAAAUUUGGAAUUCAUUAUUUAUUUAAUGAUGUUUUAGUUUCACUUUUAUCAAUCCUUAUUCCAUGUAUUAUACUUUAUGAGCAUUCUUGUCUGCAUUUUGUGCAUUGUACAUGACUUAAUUGCAUUAGGAGUUAUAUAGAAGAUCUAAGUCAUGGGUUUCUUGCAAAUAAAUGACUUGUUCACAACUGAUUCAUGGGUCUAGGCAACCCACUAGAGGUUAUAGUGCACCAUACCACCUUCUAAUUGGAGGGAUGACUAGUCUUAAUUAUCAGGAUGAGUUUCCCAUUGUGAGUGCAUUACUGUGUAUGGUUACACAUUAGACAAAACCUACAGUGAGUCAUGGCUUAAGGCUAUCAAGUAGUCAUGUCCUUACCAACCAACUUCAUUAUGUCGUCUCUCAACUUUAAGAUAAUAUUGAGUUUAUACUAAAGUUAGCAAUGGCUUUGACCUACAGGUGAAAUCAUAAGCUAAUCAUUUGGGUCAUUGUUGAUGGAAGUCGGUAGCAAUAGGUAUUCUCAAUAGAAAUACCAUGAUAUCUCAUGGGAUUUAGACAGUGUGUCCCCUUGAGUAAUCUUAAGAAAGUGUGUUCAUACAAACUAUGACCAUAGUAGUUCCUUAAGUGGAACUUGACAUAGACUCUUUGACAACUAAGACAUGUCAAUUAAAUAUAUAAUUGGACGAUCUGUAACUCAAAGAUAGUAGAGGUAAUCUUUAAGGAUUGAUAACUUUCACUUUAUUAGACUACAGACACUAAUUCAUGGGGAGACUAAACAUAAUGGAUAGCAGGUCAUGGACCCGAGUACGUAAUAUCUCGUUGUUAUUUACAUAGGAUAUUGGAGUUCAAUUGAUUCUCUAUGGUGGAAUGUUGAAUCAACUUUAGAAUUGGAUUUUGAGGAAGUCAGUACUCCUAUGGGUCCCAAUAGUCCACACUCUAAGCUCAUAUAACCUAUUGACACGGAUUAUGAGGGUCGGAUUGGCUUUAGGUUCAUUUUUGUGUAUAAGGGCAUUUUGAUAAUUACACAAGGUUGCAUAAGGGUAAGUGGACAAGGUCUCUAAAUUGAACUAAUUGAUUAAUUAAUAGGCCUUAUUGGGUUAAUUAAUCAAUUAGGACCCAUUUUGAGUUAGAUUAAGUGACCCAAGCCCAUGUGGGCUCAAGUCACUUAAGCAUACUUAGGAACCCUAUAUAUACCCCCUAAGGUUUAGGGUUCCCACAACUUUUGUCCUCCACCUGUUAGGAUAGAGCCCUUAAAAGUAUAACAUGAUGUAAUAAAUUUGGGAUUCUUUAUUUAUUUAAUGAUGUUCUAGUUUCACAUUAUUUAUUUAAUGUGAAGACAUUUGGAACCCAUCUCUCCUUCACAGAUUUAUCCAAAAGUUGCAUGCUCUGACUCAAGUUUCCAUGCAUACACAACCCUCUGAAGUGAUCAUCAACUCCAUUACCUUAGUAGUUUUUUCCAUGUCAAGCAUACAGUUAGUUUUGAGAGCGAGACCCAUUUUCACUAUGAACUCAAUGACUGUGCUUCGAUCAACUAGUUUGGCAUUUUCAUUUCUUUAUGGCAACCAAAUUUGGACUAGAUCUAACACUUGGCAGGCCAAAGGGCAUGAAUCAAAAACAGAGGAAAGCGACGGAAAAAAAAAAAAAAAACAAAGCACAAAUGGUUGAAACAAAACGAACUAAUAAAAGCCACAUUUUAUGUUUCAAUCAACCGACUUAGAUGUAGGUGAGUGAAACUAAAAAGAUUUUAAACAAGAACACAAGUAUUAUUCAGACAUUCUAUAGGAAAGCUACAACAGAGAUAAAUCAUGCUCAAACAUAACCAAAGGAAAUGAGGCAUGAAUCAACUAUAACCAAAUCACAGAAACCAAGAGAUUAACAAUAACAAGUGUGUGUCCUACGAUUAUCCAGACCCAAAACAUGGAAAAUUUUAGAAUCUAAUUGAUAAAUGAAAGAAAAAAAUGGAAAAAAUGGAGAUGAAGAAAAUUAAAUACACAAUUUAAAGGACUGAGAACCUGACCUGAACUCUUCUCUAAGAUUUAGCAAUUUAUGAAUGUAUCUUCAGGCCCCUGUAGACGAAUCCAUGCUUGGUGGUAGUAUGCUUAUUGAUGACAGUCUGGAGAUGUGGAAAUCAAAUGAUUCUGAUGAACUAAAUUUGAUGCGUGAUGAGAUAGAUGACGUGUUAUCUAAGGAUCACAAAGUUCAUCAAUAGAAACUCGUUUGAUGAUGCGUCAAUCUGAUGGAGAGAAUUCGUUGAUAAAAAAUGAUGAAAUGCCAAUUUGAAGAUAGUGACUGCGAUUCAUCUCCGGAGAUGAAUCUAAUGAGAACGUUCAGGAGUCAUAAAUGGAGAGUGUAGGGACCCCUCCCCUUGGGAAACACGUGGCACGCAGCUCAUAGUGACGCGUGGCACGUGUUAUCAGCCGGACCGUCAUUAUCCGGAUUCCCCUAAGGAUAUGCAUGGUGCAGAUAUCCUAUCCGGACCGCCUCAAGGAAAGGCAAACGACGUUUCAUCUUCUCCUAUCCAAGGAAGAGCAAACGACGUUGGCAGAGCGUACACAUCCGGAUAGUCUCCACAACACAUCCGGAUAGUCAACAUGAGCCAUCCGGAUAUAAAUCUUCUGGAUGGUCAAUUAAAGUAAAGCGAGUCUUACACGCAAUCACAACAAGCAGCCAUGGCCCACAUCCCAUCACCUGCAGAAUGAGAAGACAAGAGGAAGUGACAGCAAGUCACUUCCCACGAUCAUUCUGCAUAAUCGCUUCCCACGAUCUCUGACGGCCGCAUCACCUACCAUAGUCUCUGACAGCCAUUCAUAGGAUGAUAGUGCUCCUACUAACACCUAUUGUCAUCAUCACAACAGAAAAGAUCUCCUCACCAUUAAUGAGAGGAACAGUACCCCUGAAGCUGGAUAUAUAUACCUUCGCACGAAGAAGAAAGGGGAUCUCCUGGUAAUCUCUUGAUACCUAGAAAAAGGCCAACUGAUUUAUAUAUCUCUUUCUCACCAUGGCUAACAAAACCAUCGGAGGGUGCGUCCGGACACCCUGUCCGAAUGCCUUUUGCAGGUGCAACCACUGAAUCAAGAACCCCUUGUGUGUUGAGAAUCACGUAUCCAUCCAUAUAGCAGCAACGUGGACCAUCGGAUACGCGAGGUGACAACAGAGAGCUCUAAUGGCGGUGGUGAUUUGCAGCAAUGUCAAUCUCUGGUGGCAGUGACAGCAAGCUCUAAUGGUGGUAAACUACGCCAACAGAGACAAUCUCCAUGAAUUGCACAACAAACUUCAAUGGCGAUCUCCAAUGGUGGUGAUGAAUUCUCCUACAACAAUGAACUCUCAUUCUCCUGUAGAGAUGAACUCUCAGAUGUUGGUGAAUUAUUUUUAUAUAUUUUUUUAAUAAAUUUUAAAUGAAAUAAAAUAAAUAAAUUUUAAAUUUUUAUACAUUUUUUUAAACUCAUUUAACUUAUUUUAAUUUUUCAAUUAUAAAAUUAAAUAAUUUGAAAAUAUAUAAAUUUCUAACUAAUUUUAAUUAUAUUUUAUUUUCUUUUAUAAUUUUCAUAUAUAGUAUAACCAGUACCAAUGUUUUCAAAAUCAGACCGGCGCUUGAACCAGAAAAGUUACCAGUUCAUGAUUUACGGUUCAUUAGUUGAACUGGUGGUCAAACCGCGGUCGAAUCAAUGACAUCAUAAAUAAUAAUUUUUUUUCUUUUUUCUCACUAACUAAUCCCACAUCAGAAAUGGAUAAAAAAUAUGUAGGAAUUGUGGUAUAAAAGGCAAGCUAGAAUCAUUAACUUGCAAGACUAAAAGCUUAUUGGGCUUGAUGACAAACGGGUUGGAUGGGCUCCUCAUGGAAUGAUCCGGUUCUCUUAUGGUAUCAAAACUUUUUUUUUUGGCUUUAAAAUAAAUAAAUAAAUAAACUGUUCGGUUCGCUAAGAAUCGCCCGAUUGGGGCAGUUCACUAGUUCAACCGCUGGUUUUGUUACCGAUCGGACCAACUGGUCCAGUCCGAUUUUUAAAUCAUUAUCAAAUACAAUAAAAUAAUUUUCCUUAACAUUUCUUUUAUUUUUUUAAGUACUUCUCAAGAAUCAAACAUAAUCAUAAGACUAAUCAUAUUUUUUAUUAUAAGAUCAUUCGAAUACAAUGCCCCAAGUGAGAAUCUCAAAACGUUUGUCAAUGUUUUACUAAUAUUAAGAUUUUGAAAAUCUAUACAAUUUCUUUUUCUUUUUUUCUUUUUUUAAUAUUUGGAUGAUAGAGCAUGAGUAUACAAGAAAGGUCAAUGCAAAGAUCAAUGUCUACAAUCUUGAAAUUGCACUUCUAGAGUUGGGCCCUAAAAGAGAACCCAAUAGGGGGGAGGGGUAGCAUAUAAACCUUCCUCAAUGGGCAUGGCAACACCUUGGAGAAGGAAAGUUAUAAGUGAAAGCACUGGAUGAGGAGAUCAUGGCACAAUGCUACUUCAAAAAAAUGAGUACUAUGUUCCCAAUAAUCAAACUUUAUCAUGAAAAUGUUGAUAAUAGCGAGGAUUAUCUUAUUUACAAGUAUAGAGACAAAUAGGCAAAAGGUAAAUAAAUUAUUAAUAGAGCUUAAAAUAAUAAAUUAAGCAAAUAAACAUAUGGUAAGAUCGAAACUCAUUAUCCUUCUACUAAAUAAAAUUCUAAUACCAUAUUGGAUAACUAAAUUUUUUAAGAACUUAAACUUAAGAUUUGGAUCCUUAUGAUUGUAUAUCACAUUUUCUAAUAAUAUAUCAAAUACUUUUCUAGAUUUUGUGUUGACUUGUGAUUACUUCUCUAAAUCAAUUUUUCAGCAUCUUGUAUAUAUGUAUUUGUUAGGAUGAAUCUGUCACGCCCCAAGACCCACUCCAAGGGCGUGACGGUCAUUUCACACCUCAAACCCGAAGGCUUAAAGUAUAAUCUGACCCAAACAAUCAUAUUGUAACUGGAUGUUACCAAUUACCAAAUACCUGUUCAGAGUAGCGGAACAAAAUCUAAAAUCCUCAAAAUUCAAUUUCCAAAUAACUUCCAAAUAUCAAAUGAUCCAAAUGAACAUAACUAACAGUUAAACAAAAUCCAACAUAAAAUCCUAAGUCAAAUCCUAAUGAUGACCAUUCCUCAGCCUAGCCAUCACUCCUCACCCGAACUAAGAGUACCUGAAAAAUUUUCAACAAUUGGGAAUGAGCUCACAGCCCAAUAAGGAAUAUUAAUGCAAUUCAUGGAUCAAAUAUUUUCAUUUCAAAUAGGAGAUAUCAAUUUUUUUUUUUCUCAUCGAAUAUCAGAGUUUCAAAAAUACCAAUAUAUUCAAAAUUCAACCAACCAAUUUCAUAUCAAAUUCAAACACUUUCACAUCAGACUCAAUCAAAUCCAUUCAAUUUUUUCAUUACUCUGGUUAUCAAAUAUCAAAUGCCCAGUUAGGUGGGACUUUUCAAAUGGGUGGCUAGCCUCAAAUUGUUCCUGGUGGACGAAACCAAACACUACUAGUACUAGUAACCUCUAACCAAACCCCUAGAGGCUGGGGUCCAAAUCAAUUACAUUCCCACCAUGAAAUGUAAAGGUCAACUAUUAUAGCCCGUUGACAGGGCCGAAUAGUCAACUAUUAUAUCCCGUUGACAAGGGCCAAACAAACCAGAGUGAUGUUUUUGUUCAAGUAUUCAAAUUUACACAACAUAAUAUCUCCAUAUUUUGUGUCAUAAAUAAAACAAAAUAUUCCAACAUAAUAUUCAGUGCAAAACAAUUUGAUCCAUGCAUGGUAACAAAAUAUCAUUUUCUUUUCCACAAUUCAAAAUAACAUAUAAAAUAAUUUAAUUUUAUAAAUAUUGCAUUAACUUCCCUUACCUCAAAAGAAGUCCUUGAAAGCUUGGGAGAAGAAUAAUUCUGAAAAAAAUAUAAUCUACUCUUCACCUAAUAUAACAUAAGAGAAACAAUUAUUACUAUUUAUUUAUAAUUUAACUAAUUUAUUCCUUAUUUAAAUAAAACUAAUAAAUUCCCAAUUUGUUUCUAAUAACACACUACUAAUUUAAUUAAAUUACAAUUUUAUUUCAUUAUAAAAUUCUAUAUAUAUAUAUAUAUAUAUAUAUAUAUAUAUAUAUAUAUAUAUAUAUAUAUUGCUAAAUCUAUUAUUACUAUUAUCUUAAUUAUUAAUCUGAAACUAAAUAUCAUUAUUUUAUUAAUUACCUAAUUUGAGGCUAAAUCAUUAUUACAAAAAAUAUAUUAUUAUAUAUUUUGCUAAAUCUCUUACAUGUAUGGGGUACACACCAAACAAGUAAAACAAAGCAAAAAAAUUUUUUUUUUCCAUUGCCAUCAUCAUAAUAAUGAAUCAUUAUAUAUAUAUAUAUAAGUCUCCUUCCAUCCGGGCACACGCCCAAAUUUUUUUUUUUUUUAUUUUCCUUCCUUCCAAUGCUGUGCACACGCGUUCUCCUUUUUUUUUUUUUUUUAAUUAACCCUAACCUAAAAUUGAAAUAUUCCAAGGAAUUUUUUUUUUCUAAUAAAACUUAAGAUCUCCCAAAUUCCAAUACUAAAAUCAAAAUAUUAAAUUUUCACUAUUUGAUAUUAAAACGAAUUAAAAAAAAUAAUCUAACCCUAAUCUAGAUUUGGGGUUUUCCAAAAAAAAUAUAUCUAAUGUGUUUGAAAUUAAUCAAUGAAUCUAAAAUAUUAAACUAGGGGUUAGAAUCUUACCUAUAGAGAUUUUUUCUUCAACCCUGAAAUCUGACUCCAACCUUACGUUUUCUGAAAUUCUGCGAAUAGGAACUCUAUUCAGAAAAGAAGGGAAAAAAUAAAAUUUCUAAUUUAUACCUAGGGUAUUUAUUCGUAAAAUUACACUUUUACCCCUCUUCCACUUUAUUAAAUUAAUUAAUUAACUAAUUAAAUUAUUAAUAACAAUUUCCUAAAUUACCCUUAAAAGAAAAUGCCUGGGCGUUACAGAAUCAAUUAUCAAUGAAUGCAAAAAUGCAACUCCUCAUAGAGUCUCUUGCUUAUUUCCUCUACAACUUAAUUAGAAAAACUUAAAAGAACUCCAGAGUGAUUUCACAAAGAAAUAGGAUAAUUAUUUUAUCUUCAAACCUGCAAAAAAGAUAUGGAAACCGUAUCAUUGAAAUAAUUAAAACAGAAAACAAUUGGAAUCAAAGUGCUAUUGCCUUAUUUUAAAAACAAAAAAUAAAUAAAAUAAAUCUUAGGUUUUAUGCAAAACUAAAUAUUAGUUGCCUAAAGCUCCUUAUUUGGAAUACUAGAUGGGUGUCAAGCAUCAUUUCAACUCGGCACCUCCUUCGGUAAAUACCAAAAAUAAUAUUUGUUUUGGGAACAAGACUAGAGUUUUGAGCGGAUAUAAUAUAUUUUAAAAAAAUACACAAAAUAGAUUUCCAAGUAAAAUAAUUCUCAAGCUAGUAUAUUUCAGCUACAUGGGCAUCCAUAUGGUCGUAGAUUUUUUUUUUUUUAAUGUUGGUCUAUGUCAUAAAACUUUAAUUAGUAACUACGAUUUUGAUUUUUUAAAACAUAAAAUGAUAGUUAGAUAUUAUAGUUUUAAAUUUAUUUUUAAAAUCAUAAUCAUCAAUUACGAUUAUAAACUUAAAUUUAAAACCUUAGUUGGUAACUAAUGUUUUGACCGUUUUACAACAAAAUCAAAAUUAUAGUUCACAACUAUGAUCAUGUGAUAUAGAUACAAGUGUCAAUAAAACACUCCAAUUUGAAAAUUAUUUUGAGAGGGGAUCUACUUUGUAGAUUUUUAUUUGUUCAAAUAAAUUAUUUUUCCUCAAGGCUUAGAAAACUAACUUGUUUAGAACUAAAUUCAAUUAUACACUCUCCUAAUUUUUCUUUUUAUAAGAUCAAAUCCACGUUAUCAGUUUUCCACUAGAAUCCUCAUGAUUACUUGUAGAAUUGUUGAGAUGAAAUGGAAGUGUGGUAUGAGAUGCAUGCUUGUUUAAACUUCAGUUUCAAUCUUGGUCAAUGCUGUCCAUUCCCUUAGAUGUGCAGGAUGUGGAACCACUGCUGGAUCCUGUUGUGAGACUUGACCAUCAAUAUCCUUUUGGACUUGUGAAAGCAACCUUCCCCCGUUUUCUUGACGCAACCUGCUACUUCCACGUGAGCAUGCCAAACACGCUUAGGGCCUGUUUGUUGGUGUUUUCAAAUACAUUUUUGGAAACAGUUUUUACUGUUUUCAGAAAUAAAAUUAUGUUUAUUUAUUCUCAAAAAUAAAAAGAAUAAAAAAAAAAUAUUUAGUUCAGUUAAUAAAAAUAAUUUUUAAUAACAAAUAAAACAAAAAAACUUGUUUGGAAAAUAUUAUUGUUGGUUUUGUUUUUUAAAGUUGAGUAUUUUAUUUAACUAAUUGAUAUUGUAAAUAUAUAAAUAAUUUUUCUUCGUAAAAAUAAAAAUGUUCCAUUCUAAACAUUUUUUGCAUCGGUUUUAAUUUUUUUAAACAAAUUAUUACUUUGUAAACAUGUCUAAAUAUGUUUGAUUUCAAUAAUUGAUAAACCAUCUUAUCAAAAUAUCAUAAAUCGGUAAAUAUCAAUAAUUGGAUUUUAUGAAGAUAAAAUUUAUGAUAUCAAAUAAUAAUGCAUUAUACUUGGAAACCGAUGAUUUAUCUUUUCUACUAAUAAUAUAUUUAUGAUAAUUUUUUAUUUAAAAAUAUUUAUAAUUUUAUUUUAUAUUUAAGAAUUAUAUAAAAGAUAAAAAAAUUAAAGUAAAUCAAACUAAUUUAUUUAUAAAAAAUUAUUAAUUUUUAUAAAUUUACAUAUUAUAUAUAUAUAUAUAUAUAUAUAUACGACAGGAAUCCUUGUACUCUUUUCUCUCAUUCUCCUUAUGUUCUCCGUUUAUCUUCCAAGGCCCAAACUUUUAUUCACUAAGGUUGAACCAUUUCUCUCCUCAAAUAUUAACUCACUAAAGUCAAAAUUUAGAUCUAUGAUUGUUGUUAAGAUUCUUGGUUAGGAUUUCAUCUUUUGUGUUAUUGUUUAUGUUUUUGUUUGGUUUUUGAGAAAUCCUAGAAUUUAUGAAAGUUUCUGCUUUGAAAUACAUUAAAAAAAAUCAUAUCAGGAUAAAAUCCCAAAAUAUCCGAAAAAUAUUGAAAUGGAAAUGAAGAAAAAAUAAAUAUAAAUAAAACUUGUUGAUUAAGUUGAAUUUUUUUUAAACCGAAUUUUCAAUUUUCUAAUUUUUCUCAUUUUCCUUGGCAGUGUAAAAAAAAAAAAAAGAUAAGAGCACAUAGAGAACACGACAACAACACAAAAAACAUCAUUUUAAAACCAGGUUUUAGAAAACACAUAAAACACUUGAGAACAAAAAACACUCUUUUAUAAAACAUGAUUUUUGUGUUUUUUGUUCUAAAAAAAGAAAACAAUUUUUGGAAAUACCAACCAAACAAGCCCUUAAUGACUCAUUUUUCUUUUAUUUAUUUAUUUUAUUUUUUUGCUUAUUUGUUUAUUCUCUUGUCUGUUUUUAUUUUUAAAGAAAUAAAAAUAUUUUUCAAAAAAAUAAAAAAAAUAAAAUUAAAGAAUGUUCUCCAAACUAAAUGAAUAUUAUAGAACCCGACCAACAACAUACUAAACAAAAUGUAAAAAUCUAAAAAUAUGUUUGGUAGUAAUUGUUUUUAAUAUUUUUAAUACCUAAAAAUGAAAAAAUUUAGUGUUAAAAAAUGAAAAAUAUUUUAUAAAAUCACUGUAAAACUUAUUCUAAAUUAUUGAACUAAAUACGAAAAUAACAUAUCAUGCACGAAAAUAAGAUGAAGCAAAAAUAACUUGUAAUGUACACCUUGGGAAACACAUGAUAUUUUAGCAUCGUGUAGCAGAUUGCAAAAUCAAAUUUCGUGAGGAAUCAGGUGCCCAUAAAUCUCGUAUCUUCAUAAUGGCAUAUAGAGGAAAGUCAAGGUAAACGAAACCAUCAUAUUCUUCAACUUGCAGCCAACCAAAUAUGUUCAAGUCCAUUCAAUACAGUCCAUAAAAAUUUUAUUUUAUUUUUACAAAUUUUUUUUUCUUUCUAGAAUUCGAAUCUGAGCCUCACGACUAAAACCGAAUACGUACAAAGCAUCUAUUCUAAAAAUAAAAAAAUUAAAUUGAAUUAAAAAUUUUGGAUAUUAUAAAGCAGAAUACGUACAAAUUCUGUUGAAAGGUGAGUCAUAACAGUUAAAAAUUUAUAUAUAAUUUUUAUAUAUAUUUUAAUUAGUUUUCAAUUUUGGAUAUUAUCAAAUAAAAUUUUUAUGUAUAAUUUACUUUAGUCAGUAUUGUCCAACAUAAUUAAAUAAUACCAUGGUGGCUUAGGUUAAUUCCAAAAUGAUGGUAAUGGACUAAUGACAGAAAAAUUAUCAUACAAAAUACCUAGGCAACCAUAGGUGAAAAAAAAAGUAAUAUAAAUUCCAUAUAUUAUUAUUUAAUAUUAAUUUUCAGUCACCAUCAUAUGAUUUUUCAUAAAAUAAAAUAAAAAGGUAAAAAGUAAAUGUUCAUUAUGUUUGUUAGUAUAGUAUCAAAAGAAACUUAUUAAAUUUUUAGAAAUAUAAUUUAGAUUUAAAAGUAAUUGUAAAAAUUUGAAAAUAAGACUUAUAUUAUGAAAACAUUAAAAAAUAUUAUAAUUUAACCACAAAGAUAAUGAGUAUGACUAAGAUCGACGAUUAGGAAAAGAGAUUUUAUAAAAAAAAAAAUAUAUAUUUUGAAGUAUCUUACAUGGAUCAUUGAUUUUUAUUCAAAUUUUAAACAAAUUCAUACUAAUUUGGUUCUGGUUCUACUUGUUUCUGGUUCAAAAUGAGUUCAACGACACCUGGCCAACGGAGAUUGGUAAUUUGGCGAAUCUUGAACAAUUGGCCAUGGCCUAUAAUGACAAAUUCCGGCCUUCAGCCCUUCCAAAAGAGUUUGGCGCAUUGAAGAAGCUGAAAUAUCUGUGGAUGACGGAGGCGAAUUUGAUUGGCGAAAUACCGGAGAGCUUCAACAAUCUAUCGAGUCUGGAACUCUUGGACCUCUCAGUCAACAAAUUGGAAGGUACGAUCCCGGGAGGCAUGCUUACGUUGAAGAAUUUGAACUAUUUGCAUUUAUUCAUUAAUAGAUUGUCCGGCUACAUUCCUUCAUCCAUAGAAGCUCUCAACUUGAAACAAAUUGAUCUUUCCGACAACCAUUUGACGGGGUCCAUACCAGCGGGUUUCGGGAAGCUACAAAAUUUGACGGGUUUGAAUCUUUUCUGGAAUCAGUUGUCAGGAGAGAUACCAGCAAAUAUAAGCCUCAUUCCUACACUGGAAACCUUCAAAGUUUUUAGCAAUCAAUUGAGUGGAGUUUUGCCCCCAGCAUUUGGCCUUCAUUCGGAGCUCAAAUUCUUUGAGAUUUUUGAGAAUAAACUAAGUGGGGAAUUACCUCAACAUUUAUGCGCUAGGGGGGCUUUGCUUGGAGUGGUCGCUUCCAACAACAAUCUCAGCGGGGAAGUGCCCACGUCCCUCGGGAAUUGCACAAGUUUGCUCACCAUUCAGCUUUCCAACAAUCGUUUUUCAGGCGGGAUUCCUUCCGGCAUCUGGACAUCCCCGAACAUGGUAUCGGUGAUGUUAGAUGGAAAUUCAUUCUCAGGGACACUUCCAAGUAAAUUGGCAAGGAAUUUGUCUAGAGUGGAGAUCGCUAACAACAAGUUUUAUGGUCCAAUUCCUGCUGAAAUCUCUUCCUGGGUGAACAUCUCUGUGCUCAAUGCCAGCAACAAUAUGUUGUCUGGAAAAAUUCCAGUGGAAUUGACCAGUCUUUGGAACAUCACUGUUCUGUUGCUUGAUGGGAAUCAAUUCUCGGGUGAACUUCCAUCCCAGAUCAUCUCAUGGAAGUCUUUCAAUAAGUUAAAUCUCUCAAGAAACAAACUUUCUGGCCUAAUUCCCAAGGCAUUAGGUUCUUUAACCAGCCUUAGUUACCUCGACCUGUCAGAAAACCAGUUCUCAGGUCAAAUUCCUCCUGAACUUGGCCAUUUGAACCUUAUUAUCCUCCAUCUUUCGUCCAACCAACUCUCUGGGAUGGUCCCCAUUGAGUUUCAACAUGAAGCAUAUGAAGACAGUUUCUUGAACAAUCCCAAGUUGUGUGUCAAUGUUCCCACUCUGAACCUCCCUAGAUGUGAUGCCAAACCCGUCAACUCCGACAAAUUGUCAACCAAAUAUCUCGUUAUGAUCCUAAUUUUCGCUCUAGCUGGUGCUUUCGUCACCCUGUCCAGGGUUCAUAUCUAUCAUAGGAAGAAUCACAGUCAGGACCAUACAGCUUGGAAAUUUACUCCAUACCAUAAACUAGAUCUCGAUGAAUACAACAUAUUGUCCAGUUUGAUAGAAAAUAAUCUGAUCGGAUGUGGUGGGUCAGGGAAAGUAUACCGAAUUGCUAAUAACCGUUCUGGUGAACUCUUAGCGGUUAAAAUGAUUUCUAAUAACAAGAGAUUGGAUCAAAAGCUUCAGAAAAAAUUCAAAACAGAAGUCGAGAUAUUGAGCACCAUACGCCAUGCCAAUAUAGUGAAGUUGUUGUGCUGCAUAUCAAAUGAAACCUCAAGUCUUCUUGUUUACGAGUACAUGGAGAAGCAGAGUUUGGAUAGAUGGCUUCAUAGGAAGAAGCAGAGAACAUCGUCCAUGACAAGUUCAGUUCAUAACUUCGUCUUGGAUUGGCCAACAAGGUUGCAGAUUGCCAUUGGAGCUGCAAAAGGCCUAUGCCACAUGCAUGAAAACUGCUCUGCCCCGAUCAUACACCGAGAUGUGAAGUCCAACAACAUCUUGCUAGAUGCUGAGUUCAACGCGAAAAUUGCGGAUUUUGGAUUAGCCAAGAUGUUGGUCAAGCAAGGAGAGCCCGACACCAUGUCAGGAAUUGCAGGCUCUUACGGAUAUAUUGCCCCUGGUAAGACCAUCAAGGCCCUCCUUUCCACAUGUUUUCAUUUCCAUAAUUUAUCUAUAAUUUUUAUCAUACAAUUCUUGUAUACUUGGAUGAUAGAGUAUGCUUAUACAACAAAGGUGAACGAGAAGAUCGAUGUAUAUAGCUUUGGAGUAGUCCUGCUUGAGCUAGUGACGGGGAGAGAACCCAACAGCGGGGACGAGCACAUGUGCCUUGUAGAAUGGGCAUGGGAUCAGUUCAAAGAAGGGAAAACCAUUGAGGAAGUGAUGGAUGAGGAGAUCAAGGAACAAUGUGAAAGAGCACAAGUGACCACUCUCUUCAGUCUAGGCCUCAUGUGCACUACCACAUUACCAUCCACUAGGCCAACAAUGAAAGAGGUUUUGGAAAUUCUUCGACAAUGCAGUCCUUAGGAGGGCCAUGGUAGAAAGAAAAAGGACCAUGAAGUUGCACCUCCACUUUGAAAUGACACUUACCCCACCACUUACAAGUUAUGAGGAUAAAGCCCUUAAAAACAUGAUAUGAUGUAAUAAAUUUGAAAGUCAUUAUUUAUUUAAUGAUGUUUCGAUUUCACUUUUAUCUAUCCUUCUUUCAUGUAUUAUACUUUAUGAGCAUUCUUGCCUGCAUCUUUUGCAUUGCACUAGCUUAGGUGCAUUAAGAGUUGCACAGAAGAUCUAUGUCAUGGGUUCCUUGCAAAUAUAUGACUUGUUCACAAUUAGUUCAUGGGUCUAGGAAGCCCAUUAGAGGUUGUAAUAAACCACUUCCUAAUUGGAAGAAUGGCUAGUCUUAGCUAUUGGAAUGAGUUUCCAAUGGUAAGUGCAUUAGUGUGUAUGGUUACAUAUUGGACAUGACCUAUGGUGAAUCAUGACUUAAGGUUAUCAAGCAGUCAUGACCUUAUCAAACUGCUUCAUUAUGUUGUUUCUCAACCUUGAGAGAAUAUCGAGCUUGUACUAAAGUUAGCAAUGACUUUGACAUAUGGGUGAGAUCGUAAGUUGAUCAUAUAUUUCCUAUGGAUUGAGUCACUGUUGAUGGAAGAUGGUAGUGAUAGGUAUUUUCAAUAAAAACACCAUGAUGUCUCUUGGGAUUAAGACAACGUGCCCCUUUUAGUGAUCCUAAAGAGGUGUGUUCAUAGAAACUAUGGUCAUAAUAGUUCCUUAAGUAAAACUCAACAUAGGCUCUUUGAGAGCUAAGACAUGUCAAUUGAAUACACAAUAUGAGGAUUUGUAACUCAAUGAUGGUAGAGGUAGUCUUGAAAGACUAAUAACUUUCACUUUGUUAGACUACGAAUAUCAGUUCAUGGGAAGACUAAACACAAUAAAUAGCAAGUCACAAACUUGAACAUUUGGUAUCUCAUUAUUAUUUUCAAUAAAAUAACAAUGAGAUGGUAAGUUGAUCAUAUAUACCUUAUGGAUUAGGUCAUUGUUAAUGGAAGAUGGUAGCAAUAGGUAUUUUCAAUAAAAGUACCAUAAUAUCUCUUGGGAUUAAGACAGUGUGCCCCCUUGGAUGAUCCUAAAGAAGUGUGUUCAUGGAAACUAUGGUCAUAGUAAUUCCUUAAGUAAAACUCAACAUAAGCUCUUUGAGAGCUAAGACAUGUCAAUUGAAUACACAAUAGGAGGAUUUAUAACUCAAGGAUGAUAGAGGUAGCCUUGAAAGACUAAUAACUUUCACUUUGUUAGACUACAAAUAUCAGUUCAUGGGGAGACUAAACACAAUAAAUAGCAAGUCAUAAGCUCGAGCAUUUGGUAUCUAGUUGUUAUUUACAUAGGAUACCGAAGUUCAAUUGAUUCUCUGUAGUGGGAUGUUCAAUCAACUUUAGAAUUGGAUUUUGAGAGAGUCGGUAUUCCUACGGGUCCCAAUGGUCCUUGCUCUAAGCUUAUAUACUUUGUUGGCAUGGGUUAUAAGAGUCGAAUUGGCUCUAGGUUUACUUUUGUACAUAAGGGCAUUUUGAUAAUUACGCAAGGUUACACAAAGGUAAGUGAACAAGGUUUUUAGAUUGGGUUAAUUGAUUAAUUAGUAGGCCUUGUUUGAUUAAUUAAUCAAUUAAGACUUUUUUUGGGCUAUAUUAAGUGACCUAAGCCCUUAGUGGGCUCAAGUCACUUAAACCUAAUAGAAAACCCUAUAAAUACCCCCUUAAGGGUUAGAGUUUAUAUAGUUUUUCUAAAGAGCCAUCUUCUAUCUCCAGAGAGAGAAAGAAAGAGAAAGAGUCAUAGCAUCCACCUCCCUUCUAUCUCCACUAGAAGUGUGGCAAGAUCAAGGUUCAAGUCAUUGGGAGGAAGACUUUGGAUUUACAAGACUUCUGCGAUUUCGUUCUUCAUUUUCACCACGUGGAUUUGAUUCAAGAACAUCCGAAUUUAAGGUAUGGUUUUCAUUAGCACUUUCUGAAUCCCUUUAAAGUUUAAAAAUGUUAUUUUUCCUUUGUGCAUAGGAUUAAUUUAGAAAAUGCUUAGAAUAGUUAUGCAUGUUCCAAACCUGAUAUGAGCUUAGGAAAUGGAGAGAUCCUAGUUUUUUCCCUCAAUGUUUGUGCUCCAAAGUGUUGAGAUAGUUUAGAGGGUGACAUGAUGAUUGACAUAAUACCUUAUGUGGAUAACCUAGUGAAUCCCUUCUCCAAGACAUUGAUAGGGAGAGUCUUUGUUAGUCACAUGGAUAACAUAGGUUUCAGAUGAGUAUUUGGCAUGCUUUAAAGGCAUGAUGCUUUGAGGGCUAAUGGGAGAAUAUUAGGAUAUAGCCCUUAAAAGCAUGACAUGAUGUAAAAAAUUUGGAAUUCAUUAUUUAUUUAAUGAUGUUCUAGUUUCACUUUUAUCAAUCUUUAUUCCAUGUAUUAUACUUUAUGAGCAUUCUUGUCUGCAUUUUUUGCAUUGUACAUGACUUAAGUGCAUUAGGAGUUACAUAGAAGAUCUAAGUCAUGGGUUUCUUGCAAAUAAAUGACUUGUUCACAACUGAUUCAUGGGUCUAGGCAACUGAUUACUACUCAAAAAGUGUUAUUUGAUAGCUUGUAAUUAACUCUUUUAAACACUUUUGAGUAGUAGUUAUCACUUUUUAACCCAAUUAACAUAUUAAGGACCCUUACAAUCAAUUCUAAUCAAAUUGUGUUAAGUUUUGGUGUUUUGAUAGCUUUUUUAUCACCAAAGCAAUCCGAGAUUGAGGAGAGUUCUUUGGAAUCCAUGGCAAAGAUGUCCGGACAGGGCGUCCGGACACACCAUCGGAGGGCGGCGGAAUAUGGGUUGUGGCAGGCUGUCGGAAUGACGUAGCAAGGUUUGCUCACUUUAGUCAAUGUUUUCCAUCCGGACAACAUAUCCGGAUAGGAUAUGCUAUCGUCCGGGGUGUGAUGUGCACGAGUGUCGUGUGCUUCUCCCUAAAGGAGUCCGGAUAGCAUGGCGGCGCGUGUCCUCUUGGGGAAUCUGAAUGGAGUUGCACCGGAUAGCAAUGCGCGCUCCGUGUCAUCAGGGGAAGGGGUCCCUACACCUUGUACACGCAGAUGGUCCCCCUUGCAACGCGCGGAUAUCUCACUCCCAAAAUUCUGUCUGGUCAGACAUGUCUGGAUCCUCUGAUCGGAUAUUUCACAUCUGGAUAUCUCACAACCGGAUGGGAGAGGAGGACGUUUCAACUUCCCCGGUCAGACAUGUCCGGAUCCUCUGAUAGCGCCUACCCGGAGAGUUUUUCUCUCAGUAUACAGUGCCGCAGUGUUCUCCUGAAGCUUCCUGAUAUUUCCAACCGACAUCUUGAAAUAUUUUGCUUUAGAUAUUUGAUGUCUAAAUCCCCAAACUCUCCUUGUAACCCACCUAUCAUAGGAUUUCUUAGUCUUUAAGUAAGAAAAAUGGUGAAUAACCUCUGAUAUAUAUAGUUUGUAAUUUUCUUUAUAAGAAAUUAUGAUGUAAUCGGCGGAAGAAAGAAAUAUAUUUCACAGAGCACUUGCUCUGAUUUUCAUAUAUAUUUUUGUUUUCUCAUUCUUUUUCUUACUAGCCAAACAAGCUCUGAGGAAGUUUCCUCAGAGAAUGAGUGGCUAGACUUUUAGUUCCUUGGAGCUAAGGUUGCCGGGAAAGGUUUCAAGUGCAAGAAUUUAUAGCUUUGUGGUUUCGGCCAUUAAUGAAGAGAAAGUAUGAUCCUUUAAUGAUUUCUAUGUUUUUUAGUUAACUUAAAACACCUUCAAUUCACUUGAGCCAACACUUGGUAAGGCAAGUGAUCUCCGUCCAUGGGGAUGCACUAGUUUGCCUCUUGCGAGCUUUUGAGAAGUGACUUGAAAGUAGGAUUUUCUAUAAUUGCCAACACUUGGUAAGCUUUUGGACUCCAAGGAGACAUCCAUUAGUUAUCUUUUGCGAGCUUGAGAAAGGAAGUCCAAAGUUAAUGAUCACCUUGAAUGGCAAAUGCUAGAUGAGAGGCACGAGCCAUUGCAAGUUGCAUCAGUGAGAAGAAACUAGAGCUGAAAUCCAUUUAAAGGAUACAUCUGUACAACACCGGUUAGAGAAUUGACUAUAUGUAAAUUCUCUAAUGCGAGGAAAUGAACCAAAUGACCGAAGCUCUAUUUUUGCAUAAGGAACCUCCCUUGUGAACCUAAACCUUCAAGGAAUGUUUUUUUUCAUAAGUCAUUUACAUUACUUUCUUUUUAGUUAGCUUUAAACAAAAUCUCAUUUAAACAAAGUUUAUGUUUUAUUUCUUAAGCUAACCUUGAAAUGAAAAUAAGAUGAAGCAAAAAUAACUUGUAAUGUACACCUUGGGAAACACAUGAUAUUUUAGCAUCGUGUAGCAGAUUGCAAAAUCAAAUUUCGUGAGGAAUCAGGUGCCCAUAAAUCUGGUAUCUUCAUAAUGGCAUAUAGAGGAAAGUCAAGGUAAACGAAACCAUCAUAUUCUUCAACUUGCAGCCAACCAAAUAUGUUCAAGUCCAUUCAAUACAGUCCAUAAAAAAAAAAUUUUUUUUCUUUCUAGAAUUCGAAUCUGAGCCUCACGACUAAAACCGAAUACGUACAAAGCAUCUAUUCUAAAAAUAAAAAAAUUAAAUUGAAUUAAAAAUUUUGGAUAUUAUAAAGCAGAAUACGUACAAAUUCUGUUGAAAGGUGAGUCAUAACAGUUAAAAAUUUAUAUAUAAUUUUUAUAUAUAUUUUAAUUAGUUGUCAAUUUUGGAUAUUAUCAAAUAAAAUUUUUUAUGUAUAAUUUACUUUAGUCAGUAUUGUCCAACAUAAUUAAAUAAUACCAUGGUGGCUUAGGUUAAUUCUAAAAUGAUGGGAAAUAAAUCAAAAUGGUAAUGGACUAAUGACAGAAAAAUUAUCAUACAAAAUACCUAGGCAAACCAUAGGUGAAAAAAAAAUGUAAUAUAAAUUCCAUAUAUUAUUAUUUAAUAUCAAUUUUCAGUCACCAUCAUAUGAUUUUUCAUAAAAUAAAAUAAAAAGGUAAAAAGUAAAUGUUCAUUAUGUUUGUUAGUAUAGUAUCAAAAGAAACUUAUUAAAUUUUUAGAAAUAUAAUUUAGAUUUAAAAGUAAUUGUAAAAAUUUGAAAAUAAGACUCAUAUUAUGAAAACAUUAAAAAAUAUUAUAAUUUAACCACAAAGAUAAUGAGUAUGACUAAGAUUGACGAUUAUUUUGAAGUAUCUUACAUGGAUAGUUGAUUUUUAUUCAAAUUUUAAACAAAUUCAUACUAAAAACCCAUAACGCUUGCUAAAUCUAAUCUUGUAACCUGGUGUUUUGUUCUUAGAAUAUAUAUAUAUAUAUAUAUAUAUAUAUAUAUAUAUAUAUAUUUCCGCUGCUCCAAGUAAGCUGGAGAUGAAAGGGACCACCAAUCACGAUCAAUGGUUAGAUCAAAAUUAGCUUAUCUGUGUUACACACGACUCCUGGCUCCUUCGUAAUUAAUCCCAACACAUAGGCCAUUUUGUAAAAUUCAGUAAAUAAAUUCUGACAGCCAACCAGAUUUUGAAAAUGAACCGUCCCAACGCCACAAAAAUGCCGAAAGUAAACUUUUUAUUUGCCAAAAUUCCAUUCCCCGCUCUGUUUCUCCUCCUCGUCCUCUCCUUACCCUUUCAAGUAAUUUUCGAAAAUCUGGACGAUGAACUAUCAAUCCUACUAGACGUUAAACAACAACUGGGCAAUCCCUUGUCACUCCAAUCUUGGAAUUCCUCAUCCUCACCCUGUGAUUGGCCGGAAAUUACAUGCAUCGACAAUAUCGUCACUGAAAUUUCACUCAGCGACAAGACCAUCACAAAGAAAAUUCCGGCUAGAAUUUGUGACCUCAAGAACCUUAUCGUACUUGACGUCUCCAACAAUUACAUUCCAGGCAAGUUCUCGGAUAUUCUAAAUUGUUCUAAGCUGGAGCAUCUCCUCUUGAAGCAAAACUUCUUCGUGGGUCCAAUUCCAACUGACAUUGAUUGACUUUCACGUCUCCGGUACCUAGACCUCACAGCAAACAACUUCUCUGGAGAUAUUCCCACAGCAAUUGGGAGGCUACGGGAGCUGUUCUACUUGUUUCUGGUUCAAAAUGAGUUCAACGGCACCUGACCAAUGGAGAUUGGUAAUUUGGCGAAUCUUGAACAAUUGGCCAUGGCCUAUAAUGAAAAAUUCCAGCCUUCAGCCCUUCCAAAAGAGUUUGGCGCAUUGAAGAAGCUGAAAUAUUUGUGGAUGACGGAGGCGAAUUUGAUUGGCGAAAUACCGGAGAGCUUCAACAAUCUAUCGAAUCUGGAACUCUUGGACCUCUCAGUCAACAAAUUGGAAGGUACGAUCCCGGGAGGCAUGCUUACGUUGAAGAAUUUGAACUAUUUGCAUUUAUUCAUUAAUAGAUUGUCCGGCCACAUUCCUUCAUCCAUAGAAGCUCUCAACUUGAAACAAAUUGAUCUUUCCGACAACCAUUUGAUGGUCCAUACCAGCGGGUUUCGGGAAGCUACAAAAUUUGACGGGUUUGAAUCUUUUCUGGAAUCAGUUGUCAGGAGAGAUACCAGCAAAUAUAAGCCUCAUUCCUACACUAGAAACCUUCAAAGUUUUUAGCAAUCAAUUGAGUGGAGUUUUGCCCCCAGCAUUUGGCCUUCAUUCGGAGCUCAAAUUCUUUGAGAUUUUUUAGAAUAAACUAAGCGGGGAAUUACCUCAACAUUUAUACGCUAGGGGGGCUUUGCUUGGAGUGGUCGCUUCCAACAACAAUCUCAGCGGGGAAGUGCCCACGUCCCUCGGGAAUUGCACAAGUUUACUCACCAUUCAGUUUUCCAACAAUCGUUUUUCAGGUGGGAUUCCUUCCGGAAUCUGGACAUCCCCGAACAUGGUAUCGGUGAUGUUAGAUGGAAAUUCAUUCUCAGGGACACUUCCAAGUAAAUUGGCAAGGAAUUUGUCUAGAGUGGAGAUCGCUAACAACAAGUUUUAUGGUCCAAUUCCUGCUGAAAUCUCUUCCUGGAUGAACAUCUCUGUGCUCAAUGCCAACAACAAUAUGUUGUCUGGAAAAAUUCCAGUGGAAUUGACUAGUCUUUGGAACAUCACUGUUCUGUUGCUUGAUGAGAAUCAAUUCUCGGGUGAACUUCCAUCCCAGAUCAUCUCAUGGAAGUCGCUCAAUAAGUUAAAUCUCUCAAGAAACAAACUUUCUGGCCUAAUUCCCAAGGCAUUAGGUUCUUUAACUAGCCUUAGUUACCUCGACCUGUCAGAAAACCAGUUCUCAGGUCAAAUUCCUCCUAAACUUGGCCAUUUGAACCUUAUUAUCCUCCAUCUUUCGUCCAACCAACUCUCUGGGAUGGUCCCCAUUGAGUUUCAACAUGAAGCAUAUGAAGACAGUUUCUUGAACAAUCCCAAGUUGUGUGUCAAUGUUCCCACUUUGAACCUCCCUAGAUGUGAUGCCAAACCCGUCAACUCCGACAAAUUGUCAACCAAAUAUCUCGUUAUGAUCCUAAUUUUCGCUCUAGCUGGUGCUUUCGUCUCCUUGUCCAAGGUUCAUAUCUAUCAUAGGAAGAAUCACAGUCAGGACCAUACAGCUUGGAAAUUUACUCCAUACCAUAAACUAGAUCUCGAUGAAUACAACAUAUUGUCCAGUUUGACAGAAAAUAAUCUGAUCGUAUGUGGUGGGUCAGGGAAAGUAUACCGAGUUGCUAAUAACCGUUCUGGUGAACUCUUAGCGGUUAAAAUGAUUUGUAAUAACAGGAGAUUGGAUCAAAAGCUUCAGAAACAAUUCGAAACAGAAGUCGAGAUAUUGAGCACCAUGCGCCAUGCCAAUAUAGUGAAGUUGUUGUGCUGCAUAUCAAAUGAAACCUCUAGUCUUCUUGUUUACGAGUACAUGGAGAAGCAGAGUUUGGAUAGAUGGCUUCAUGGGAAGAAGCAGAGAACAUCGUCCAUGACAAGUUCAGUUCAUAACUUCGUCUUGGAUUGGCCAACAAGGUUGCAGAUUGCCAUUGGAGCUGCAAAAGGCCUAUGCCACAUGCAUGAAUACUGUUCUGUCCCAAUCAUACAUCGAGAUGUGAAGUCCAGCAACAUCUUGCUAGAUGCCGAGUUCAACGCGAAAAUUGCGGAUUUUGGAUUGGCUGAGACGUUGGUCAAGCAAGGAGAACCCAACACCAUGUCAAGAAUUGCAGGCUCUUACGGGUAUAUUGCCCCUGGUAUGACCAUCAAGGCCCUCCUUUCCACAUGUUUUCAUUUCCAUAAUUUAUCGAUAAUUUGUAUCAUACCAUUCUUGUAUACUUGGAUGAUAGAGUAUGCUUAUACAACAAAGGUGAACAAGAAGAUCGAUGUAUAUAGCUUUGGAGUAGUCUUGCUUGAGCUUGUGACAGGUAGAGAACCCAACAAUGGGGACGAGCACAUGUGCCUUGCGGAAUGAGCAUGGAAUCAGUUCAGAGAAGGGAAAACCAUUGAGGAAGUGGUAGACGAGGAGAUCAAGGAACAAUGUGAUAGAGCACAAGUGGCCACUCUCUUCAAACUAGGCAUUAAGUGCACUAACAAAUUACCAUCCAAUAGGCCCACAAUGAAAGAGGUUUUGAAAAUUCUUCAAUAGUGCAGUCCUCAGGAGGGCCAUGGAAGAAAUAAAAAGGACCAUGAAGUUGCACCUCCACUUUGAAAUGACACUUAUCCCACCACUUACAAGUUGUGAGGAUAAAGCCCUUAAAAACAUGAUAUGAUGUAAUAAAUUUGGAAGUCAUUAUUUAUUUAAUGAUGUUCCGAUUUCACUUUUAUCUAUCCUUAUUCCAUGUAUUAUACUUUAUGAGUAUUCUCGCCUGCAUCUUUUGCAUUGCACUAGCUUAGGUGCAUUAAGAGUUGCAUAGAAGAUCUAUGUCAUGGGUUCCUUGCAAAUAUAUUACUUGUUCACAACCAGUUCAUGGGUCUAGGAAGCCCAUUAAAUGGCUUCAUGGGAAGAAGCAGAGAACAUCGUCCAUGACAAGUUCAGUUCAUAACUUCGUCUUGGAUUGGCCAACAAGGUUGCAGAUUGCCAUUGGAGCUGCAAAAGGCCUAUGCCACAUGCAUGAAAACUGCUCUGCCCCGAUCAUACACCGAGAUGUGAAGUCCAGCAACAUCUUGCUAGAUGCCGAGUUCAACGCGAAAAUUGCGGAUUUUGGAUUGGCCAAGAUGUUGGUCAAGCAAGGAGAGCCCGACACCAUGUCAGGAAUUGCAGGCUCUUACGGAUAUAUUGCCCCUGGUAAGACCAUCAAGGCCCUCAUUUCCACAUGUUUUCAUUUCCAUAAUUUAUCUAUAAUUUUUAUCAUACAAUUCUUGUAUACUUGGAUGAUAGAGUAUGCUUAUACAACAAAGGUGAACGAGAAGAUCGAUGUAUAUAGCUUUGGAGUAGUCCUGCUUGAGCUAGUGACGGGGAGA
Molecule: long non-coding RNA, 25740 nt
Filed under: Vitis vinifera (wine grape)
Lineage: Eukaryota; Viridiplantae; Streptophyta; Magnoliopsida; Vitales; Vitaceae
Description: long non-coding RNA (VVIN_LNC000900)
Source: RNAcentral